Molecule: ribosomal RNA, 121 nt
Filed under: Neotermes sp. 1 CH-2014
Lineage: Eukaryota; Metazoa; Arthropoda; Insecta; Blattodea; Kalotermitidae
Also listed under: 1 other name
Description: partial 16S ribosomal RNA
Source: RNAcentral
AAGAUUUUAAAGGUCGAACAGACCUAAUUAACUCAUAAAGCCUCUACACCAAAAAUUCAUCUUAAUCCAACAUCGAGGUCGCAAACCCUUUUGUCAAUAAGAACUCUCAAAAAAGAUUACG